AAAAAAAGUCAGCCACUUUGUUAUCUUUCUCAAUCUGCAUCUUCUCCAAAAUCUCCCAUGUAAGUUCAUCCUAAAACAAAAAUGUCAAAGAAAGGUAGGGAAAUUCCAAGAAAAAAGAAAAAAGAUUUGUCCAUGAGGAAGACGAUUUUCAUGCUCCUUCAUUCAAUAUAUUGUCACAGUCUGAAACUCAAAAAUCAAAGGGAAAAAAAAAAGAGCCAAAGGAAAGAGGCAAGAAGAGGAAAGGAAAAGAAAAUGUAACAUCGUCAGAAUCCGAUUCUGACUUUGUUGAUGUAGUAAAAAAUACAAAAUCAAAAAAAUCAAAAGGCGUUGAAAUUGGUCGUUCACCAACGAAGUCUUCAAAAAAAGAUGCAGAGAUUCAAGAAAAAAAUGAAACAAAACAAGUUGAUAAGGAGAAGAAGGUUCAAAAACAUUUAUCUUCAUGUAUCAACAUGAAUGUGUUCGCUGAUUUGUUGACCUUCCUCGGUCAAGAUAAGUUCAACAAUUUUUACAAGAAACUCCAUUUGAAUAUUUUUAUGAUUUACAUAACAUACAGAUCCAAUGUCAAUUGUUGCGCCAUAUUUUUCUUCUUGAAUCUGAAAAUGACAGGGAUGAUAUGUUCAGUAUCAAUGUAAAUGGUACAGAGUUACAUUUUGAUUUAAAAGAGUUUGUCACUGUAAUCGGUCUAAAAUCUGGUCCAAUUUCUGAUUUUAUUUCUGAUCCAUCUGUUCCAAAUAGAUUAAUUUCAGAAAUUUUUGGAGAAAUGGACAAAGUCCCAAAGUCAAAUUUUUACAACAAGUUUAAAUUGGAAAACUUUUGGAAAGAACAUGAUCGUUUAAAAAUCGAAAUUCUGUACUUCAUUUCGUCAUUCCUAACUGCAUCAGACCCUUCAAAAACAACAAUUCCCAAGUUAUAUUUUGAUUAGUAGAGUCUGGCCAGUAUGCUCCAUGGGCGAAUGAAUGUUUUAAUUUAACACUUAAAGCGUGCACUGAAAAAUUCAAAAAUAAUCCUUCGUCGUUCAAGUUUAGCCAGUUUCAUAUAGCAUUGCAGGUACGAUUUUAGGAGUGUUGUCAUCCAUUUGACAACACAAUUGCUAUCCAUGCUUCAAAUCGCACACCGCAUAUCUUGAACUGGAAGACAACAAAUGACGUUAUUUUUUUUGAUGAUUUGAAGAAAACGAUUUUCUGAACAGAUGGCAAUCAGCAUAAAUUCAGAAAUAUGAUUUUUACUAAAGAAGAGUUAAAUGUCAUGGAUGAGACCAUUUUAAAUCAAUCUCCCACUCAACAAGAUUCUGAAGAGCAAGGAACAUCGGUAAAAUAGGGCAUUGAAGUUGAAGAAAAAUACGCUGAGUUGAAAGCAGAAAUUGCAGAGGUUAAGGCGGAAUUGAAAGAGCUCAAAGCUAAUGUUGACAAGCACAUGGUUGAAAUAAAGAAUUACGUUGAUAAUUCGACUAAGCUGAUAAUUGAAGAAAUUAGAUUGUCAAGAGGUCAACAACGGGAUGAUGCCACUCCAAAUGUUGCACAAUCCGAAGAGAUUAGAUUGUCAAGAGGUCAACCAACAUCGGAUGCACAACAACGGUUCAAACUGCUUUUUAAUUUAUGAUGAUGUCACUCCAAAUGUUGGACACUCUGAAGAGAUUAGAAUGUCAAGAGGUCAACCAACUUCGGAUGCACAACAACAGAUGAAGGUCAAAAGUCAAUUGGUGAAUUUUUCAAUGCCGACUUACCUGGAUCAUCGACUUCAAAAUCACCUACUUUGGAUAAUUACUCUGAUUUUACCAUGACACAAAUCAUUGCACUUGAUCCAAUUUUAAACGCUAUCACAACACCAGAUGUGCAAACAAGACACAUGAAUCCCGACAAAUAUGAAUCUUCUCCUUAUAUUCUACUGUCGGAAGCCGAAAGCAGUUCGAAGAAAGUUCCAAUUUUUUUCACAAUAAAACAUUCGCAAGUCACAGUGGAUUUGAUCUUCCAGCUGAUAUGAUUAACCAGUUCAACAAAUGGCUUAUGAAAGACAUUUCAAAAAGGCGUGGCAGAUAUGGAUAUAUAUAAAUCAUAUUAUUUUAUUUUUUUUAACAAUAUGAAAUUCAAUACAACAUUUAUUGCAAUAUUCACAGGAAAUAAGUAUAUACAAAGGUGAAAAAUGUCUUUCAUCCUCAAAUGGACUUUGGCGUUGUCAAAAUUGCAGAAAAAGAUUUUUUCCACGUAAUGAGUCAACUGGGCAGACCUUGGGAGGAUGGAGUAAGACAACUAAUGUAUUAUUAAUGUAUGAAUUAUGAAUGAUAUAAAAUUAAAUUUACAAUAAGUUUGUAUGAAAUGUAUAUGAAAAAUGUA
Molecule: long non-coding RNA, 2330 nt
Organism: Solanum pennellii
Lineage: Eukaryota; Viridiplantae; Streptophyta; Magnoliopsida; Solanales; Solanaceae
Exons: 8
Source: RefSeq, a predicted model, not a curated record